Molecule: long non-coding RNA, 382 nt
Organism: Patiria miniata (bat star)
Lineage: Eukaryota; Metazoa; Echinodermata; Asteroidea; Valvatida; Asterinidae
Exons: 3
Source: RefSeq, a predicted model, not a curated record
AAGAGGAGUUCCCCAGGACUGAGGAAGCUUCACAAGCUGACAUACAAGCACCUGUACUUUGUCACCUUCUCUGAGAAUGCACGUGUACUUGGCAGCACAGGUCCUGAGCAGCACAGUUGCAAAUGCGCUGGAGUCCUAUGGGCAGGUUGGAACGACCUCAACUGUCAAGUUCAUCAAGAUGUUUGAUAAGUUUUUCGACUGUUUGAAUGUCUCGAAUAUGUGCCAGUGAGCACGCACAAGAAAACCGGCUUUGGCACCAAACACAAGUGUAGAUGAUUGGCGGUUUGAGGAUUUCUUGGGCUUCUUGUGGGAGUGGGAGGAUGAAGUCCAAGCUCUGCCAGAUGUGGACAGCACGGCGCGUAAGAAGAUGUGCCUCAGCAUU